Molecule: long non-coding RNA, 556 nt
Organism: Halichondria panicea
Lineage: Eukaryota; Metazoa; Porifera; Demospongiae; Suberitida; Halichondriidae
Exons: 3
Source: RefSeq, a predicted model, not a curated record
AAGGCCUGGGAAUGAGGCUAGGGCAGGAGUGCACUCCUGUUAUGGGCUAUAAACAAUAUUGACAGGGGCACGCUCACAAGGCCAUGAAAGCAUAGCUUAAGACGACGAUCUUUACCAGUUUUCUAGUUUUGUUAAUGAUCUUUACCGGUUACAUUGUUUAGCGUCAACAUGGCAUGGCAGCUAGCCCUUGAUGAUACAGACACAGAGAAGAGAGGUAGCAUGUCUGAGAACACUGGUCUACUCCCCAGCUCACCCAAGCACAGCUCACCCAAGCACACUGCCAGUGCCGCCACAGUCUAUGCUUCUGAUGGAGAGACACCUUCACUAACAUACACAGGAAGAUAACAUCCUGCAAGUGCAAAACCUGGUUAUAGUCAUUUGCGUUCUUCUUAUGGAACUUUGGUGCCAUGGGGUUGGUGUCCAUCCACUGGAAGGGCCCCCUCCGACUGCAGCAGGCCUACCUCAUCCUCACCAGUGCAUUAGUGGCAACCACGUUCCUCAAGUACCUGCCUGACUGGACCACCUGGAUCCUCCUCGUUGCUAUAUCACUCUAUGG